Molecule: ribosomal RNA, 801 nt
Filed under: uncultured bacterium
Lineage: Bacteria
Description: bacterial SSU rRNA
Rfam family: Bacterial small subunit ribosomal RNA
Source: RNAcentral
ACACAUGCAAGUCGAGGGGCAGCAUGGUCUUAGCUUGCUAAGGCCGAUGGCGACCGGCGCACGGGUGAGUAACGCGUAUCCAACCUGCCUUACACUCUUGGACAGCCUUCUGAAAGGGAGAUUAAUACAAGAUGUUAUCAUGAGUAAGCAUUUUCACAUGAUUAAAGGUUUACCGGUGUAAGAUGGGGAUGCGUUCCAUUAGAUAGUAGGCGGGGUAACGGCCCACCUAGUCUUCGAUGGAUAGGGGUUCUGAGAGGAAGGUCCCCCACAUUGGAACUGAGACACGGUCCAAACUCCUACGGGAGGCAGCAGUGAGGAAUAUUGGUCAAUGGACGAGAGUCUGAACCAGCCAAGUAGCGUGAAGGAUGAAGGUUCUAUGGAUUGUAAACUUCUUUUAUACGGGAAUAAACGGAUCCACGUGUGGAUUUUUGCAUGUACCGUAUGAAUAAGGAUCGGCUAACUCCGUGCCAGCAGCCGCGGUAAUACGGAGGAUCCGAGCGUUAUCCGGAUUUAUUGGGUUUAAAGGGAGCGUAGAUGGGUUGUUAAGUCAGUUGUGAAAGUUUGCGGCUCAACCGUAAAAUUGCAAUUGAUACUGGCAGUCUUGAGUACAGUUGAGGUAGGCGGAAUUCGUGGUGUAGCGGUGAAAUGCUUAGAUAUCACGAAGAACUCCGAUUGCGAAGGCAGCUUACUAACCUGUAACUGACAUUGAUGCUCGAAAGUGUGGGUAUCAAACAGGAUUAGAUACCCUGGUAGUCCACACGGUAAACGAUGAAUACUCGCUGUAGGCGAUAUACGGUCUGC